RNAcentral lists this transfer RNA (48 nucleotides) under Meloidogyne exigua. Its description in RNAcentral is "tRNA-Val". The record is from RNAcentral. Lineage: Eukaryota; Metazoa; Nematoda; Chromadorea; Rhabditida; Meloidogynidae.
UUUUAUUAAAAAUAUUUUAUUUACAAUAAAAAGAAUAAUAAAUAAUCA